Molecule: ribosomal RNA, 469 nt
Filed under: uncultured bacterium
Lineage: Bacteria
Description: bacterial SSU rRNA
Rfam family: Bacterial small subunit ribosomal RNA
Source: RNAcentral
GAUGAACGCUAGCUACAGGCUUAACACAUGCAAGUCGAGGGGCAGCAGGGAUUUAGCUUGCUAAAUCCGCUGGCGACCGGCGCACGGGUGCGUAACGCGUAUGUAACCUACCUUUAACAGGGGGAUAACACUGAGAAAUUGGUACUAAUACCCCAUAACACCUGAGGAGGCAUCUUUUUGGGUUGAAAGUUCCGGCGGUUAAAGAUGGACAUGCGUUGUAUUAGCUAGAUGGUGAGGUAAAGGCUCACCUAGGCGACGAUCUCUAGCUGGUCUGAGAGGAUGAUCAGCCACAUUGGGACUGAGACACGGCCCAGACUCCUACGGGAGGCAGCAGUAGGGAAUAUUGCACAAUGGAGGAAACUCUGAUGCAGCCAUGCCGCGUGUGUGAAGAAGGCCUUCGGGUUGUAAAGCACUUUCAGAGGGGAGGAGAAUGACGUUACCCUCAGAAGAAGCACCGGCUAACUCCGUG